UCCUGGUUUCCCAGGCGGUCCCACUAGAGUGCCUAUCUUACGAUAGUUGCAACUAGCAGUAGGGGUUGCGCUCGUUAGAGGACUUAACCUAACGUCUCACGACACGAGCUGACGACAGCCAUGCAGCACCUGUGCAUCUGUCUUAACCGAAGCCAAGAAGACUGCGUUUCCGCAGCUGUCAAAUGCAUGUCAAGCCCAGGUAAGGUUCCUCGCGUAGUGUCGAAUUAAACCACAUGUUCCACCGCUUGUGCGGACCCCCGUCAAUUCCUUUGAGUUUUAAUCUUGCGACCGUAGUCCCCAGGUGAACCACUUAACGCGUUAGCUACGACACUAAUCCGGCAGAGCCAGACUAACGUCUAGUGGUCAUCGUUUACAGCGUGGACUAC
Molecule: unclassified non-coding RNA, 386 nt
Filed under: uncultured bacterium
Lineage: Bacteria
Description: contains 16S-23S intergenic spacer region
Source: RNAcentral